RNAcentral lists this ribosomal RNA (345 nucleotides) under Triticum aestivum (bread wheat). Its description in RNAcentral is "partial small subunit ribosomal RNA". The record is from RNAcentral. Lineage: Eukaryota; Viridiplantae; Streptophyta; Magnoliopsida; Poales; Poaceae.
AUGACCAAGCAAUUCGCCGCUUGCAAGUGGGUUUCUUCCCGGAUCACAGAAACACAACUGAAUGGAUAUGUUCUGACUGGCGCUUUGGCCAAGAAAAAUGUCCUUCAUUGGCGAGUCCCUGGCCCUGAAUGCCCUCCUGAACCUCGAGAUGGAGAAGUGAUUGUGUUCAUGCAACAUCUAGACUGGGGAUUUAGCCCUCCCGGAUCAAAGUUUUUCUGGGAUGUACUUGCUAGCUUCCAACUCCAUCCACAAGAUAUUGGACCGAAUUCUGUGUCCAACAUAUGUAAUUUCCAAGUAUUCUGUGAAGUUUACCUCAAUGCCUCUGUUAGACACCAGAAAGCCUAA